AUCACUGUCACAGGUGACACACUCACCUGUCUGUGUUUCUGCAGCUUUCAACAUUCACAAUGUGACGACAACUUAAUGACUGUGUUUGCUUUAUUUUAGACAAACACACCACCACACCUCCACCUACAUCCACACCUCCCGCUGCUCUCUCUGUUUUGUCAUUUGUUGGAUCAGUGUGUGUUGUGGUUCUAUUGGUGUUACUGGUUCUGCUGGUGAAACGAUGUGUUCACAGGAAACCUGAAGAUCGAGAAGAAAGUGGAGAAGAUGACCUCAUCACUCAUCUCAUCAUCAAGAUAUCAGUUUAUCAACAACAAUCCGAGGAAAGACGAGACAUUUAUUCGACUGUGGUCUACUUAGCAGUGAGAACUGAAGACAUCGGUUAUGGACAAACAACCAUUACAACAUGAUGACAGAACAG
Molecule: long non-coding RNA, 418 nt
Organism: Pelmatolapia mariae (spotted tilapia)
Lineage: Eukaryota; Metazoa; Chordata; Actinopteri; Cichliformes; Cichlidae
Exons: 3
Source: RefSeq, a predicted model, not a curated record